UACCGGUGGAUAAACACAGAACACUACGU
Molecule: non-coding RNA, 29 nt
Filed under: Mus musculus (house mouse)
Lineage: Eukaryota; Metazoa; Chordata; Mammalia; Rodentia; Muridae
Source: RNAcentral